CUAAGCCGGGGCAUUCGGGAGCAGAACGGGCUGCCAGGAGGCGCCCAGCACGUGGUCCAGGUGUCCCAGAAGGAGCGUUCGCAGCUCCCUGGAGGCGGGAACGGAGUCCCCCGGGGAGAGAGUGGUCCAGGGUUUGCCCUCAGGCGUCCACACUGUCCGCCGGCGAGGCUGGUCCUGUUCCCAGCACCCACGCUGCUAGAGCCACCGGAUCUCCCAGGAGGAGACCCAGCUGCACUCAGAAGAAUCACGCUGGCCUAGGAGAUGGACGGCGGCGUGCGGGCCAUGCGCACGCUGGCUGGGAGACCACGGCGCUGACCUGAUGGCUGGGUCUUUCCUGCUGCCUGAGCUGCUGUGGAGAACAUUUCUCAACAGCGUCCCCACUCCUGCCUGGCCAUCGAGACACUGCCCUUGUUGGGACCAAGGUCUCCCUAUGUCCGUCCUGGCUGCACCUGCGGGGCCCCUGGCUCCACCUGGUCCUGGCUGUUGCCUUGCUCACCCUCUGACGCUCACAUGUCCAUGCUGGCUGGUGGCUUCUUGAUGCUGCAAGCUUAGUGAACACACAGGAAUCCUGCUCCUAGGGCCAGCACACCCUCCGUGGCUCCUUCCUUGGCCUCACUGUAAAGCAAGCUGGCAGCAGAGUCAGGGCUCUGGGACGUCUGAGAAAUCUUGGGCACCAAGCGGCCCCCCGGCCUCCCCUUCUCUCCUGUUUCCUCCUCUCUCAGGCUAUGCUUGGCAUUUGGGAACCACGUGGCACCGUUGGCUCCUCCCUCCUGCUGCGGUCAUGCCAGGAUGCUGCUGCCUGGCCCUCAUCUGUCCGGAUCGGUGCCGCCUCCUUUUCUUCCCCGGGAGAGAAACUGGAGUCCCAGUUCUGAGGCCUUGCUCCGAGCUCGGUACCCUCCUGUGCCGACACCUGCCCCUGUUGUCCUGUUGGGACCUUAACAUUCUGCAGCCAACCUUUGGACUAAGUGUGUGCAGAGUCUCCAUGCCGCGUCUUGCCCCCGAAGACUGGCCCUGCCUCCGCAGGCCUGGCUGCCGUCUGGGUUGGUGUCCAGGGAGUGGGUGUCGAGCUCUCCCUCAGCUGCCACAGCCCAGACCUUCCUGACAUUGCUGCUUGGAGCAGAGGCCUGGGCGCGACCCCUCUGUCUUGGCAGAGGGGGUGACUCUCACUUCGUGUUUGUCAGGGAAGAGGUGAAGUGUUGAGAAUCUGGUCCUUGGAGUGGGCACAUCUUUGGGGAGCAGCAGGGCCUGCUUCAGAGUUUGUUUCCUAAAUAAAACAAUGGCUCUCCAGUGACUUCUCCUGUGCCCUCGAUUGUUUUUGAGGCUGUUGCACUUUUAAAGAGCAGUGUGUCCACACCACCGUUCCUGUGGGCCCACUGUGGGGACAGCUGCUGAACCUUCCAGGACACACCUACAUACCUCAUCCCACCUACACCUCUCACCCUCCUACACACCUCACCCUCCUACACACCUCACCCUCCUACACACCUCACCCUCCUACACACCUCACCCUCCUACACACCUCACCCUCCUACACACCAAACCCUCCUACACACCUCACCCUCCUACACACCUCACCCUCCUACACACCUCACCCACCUACACACCUCACCCUCCUACACACCUCACCCUCCUACACACCUCACCCUCCUACACACCUCACCCUCCUACACACCAAACCCUCCUACACACCUCACCCUCCUACACACCUCACCCUCCUACACACCUCACCCUCCUACACACCUCACCCUCCUACACACCUCACCCUCCUACACACCUCACCCUCCUACACACCUCACCCUCCUACACACCUCACCCUCCUACACACCUCACCCUCCUACACACCUCACCCUCCUACACACCUCACCCUCCUACACACCUCACCCUCCUACACACCUCACCCUCCUACACACCUCACCCUCCGCAGUGUGCUUAUCACCACUGCACCCACGCUUGUGGCUGCAAGGAAGUCCCUGGCUGAUGUGAGUCCUCCUCCCACACACUGGGGCCCAUGGCUUUGGUGUCUAGAAAAGAAUGACAAUAAGGUCAGUACAGGGCAGGCUGGUCAGACCACCUU
This 2074-nucleotide long non-coding RNA is filed under the name Homo sapiens (human). RNAcentral describes it as "HSALNT0117294". The record is from RNAcentral. Lineage: Eukaryota; Metazoa; Chordata; Mammalia; Primates; Hominidae.